CUCUCAGGAAAUGGGUGGCGUUUGACGGUAGCGGGAGAGGAAGCCCCGGCAAACUACGUGCCAGCAGCCGCGGUAAUACGUAGGGGGCGAGCGUUGUCCGGAUUUAUUGGGCGUAAAGGGCGUGUAGGCGGUCUGGUAAGUCGGGGGUGAAAACCCGGGGCUCAACCCCGGGAGUGCCUCUGAUACUGCUGGACUUGAGUGCUCUAGAGGGCAGUGGAAUUGCCGGUGUAGCAGUGAAAUGCGUAGAGAUCGGCAGGAACACCAGUGGCGAAGGCGACUGCCUGGGGAGUAACUGACGCUGAGGCGCGAAAGCUAGGGGAGCGAACAGGAUUAGAUACCCUGGUAGUCCUAGCCGUAAACGAUGAGUGCUAUGUGUGAGGGGUAUCGACCCCCCUCGUGCAGCAGUUAACGCAAUAAGCACUCCGCCUGGGGAGUACGGCCGCAAGGUUGAAACUCAAAUGAAUUGACGG
Molecule: ribosomal RNA, 470 nt
Filed under: uncultured bacterium
Lineage: Bacteria
Description: bacterial SSU rRNA
Rfam family: Bacterial small subunit ribosomal RNA
Source: RNAcentral